UGGUGCAAAGCCUCCACCCCUAGCCCACUGUCACCCCCUCGUUUUGCGAGACAGUGAUACAAUAGUCAAUAUAAACAUUCGUAGCAACCGUUUUUUUUUGUGACAGCCUGGACCUACACGGUAAUUUUGCAACAAAAAAAAGGACCGUGUGUAUCCAACAGGGGCUGUUUUCAUCAAGGAUGAUGUCAUCCACUGAGUCAGGAACAGAUGUUCCUAAACUACAUCGCCUUUUCAUCAAGUUUGACCCAGAGGUUGUAGCGGAGGCUGCUGAGGGGAGGACGGCUCAUAAUAAUGUCUGGAAGAGAGCGAAUGGAAUGGCAUCAAAGACAUGGAAACCAUGUUGUUUUAUUUCUCUCUAUACUUUUUUCUCCUUACCAUACCAUCCCUACCCUAAUUGGAGUAAACUAAUGGACAACGACAAAAUGUUUACUGCUACUUACAGCUAUCUUGCUCACAUCUACGGUAGCUGUAGUUAAGAAAUUAUACAUAUAUUCCUAAUUUCUUCAAGUGCUGGAUUCUCACCCGCAGCGGCCAAUCCACCACUCAUUCUGAUCUUAACUCCAACCCUACGAUAUCCACAGAUUUCCCUAUCUUUCCCAGUAUAAUGCUAUUUCCUUUUGCAAUACACCCCUUCAAUUUUACUAUGAUGUCUUACGAGGGUCCUGAAUCUAACUAUUUCUAACAUUUCUACCGAUAUUGCCCUAAAAAUAAAUACUUUACUCGAGUAUAAUGAUAUUUCCCAUUGACUGCAUGUUUUUUCAGAUCCCCUAACAAUACAGUUUGCAGGUCCAUCUGAACCCUGAUAUUAUGACAUAACAACCAUUCCUGAACCAGAAAAUAUAUUCUAUUGAUUCUGUUUUCUCGUGGCAAAGUCUGCACAAGGCUGACUGUUCAAUGCCCCAUAUACUCUAUUGAGCAUUAUUUUUGUUGCAAGUAUUUAUAUAAUAGCUUAAAUUGAAGUGAAGGGAUUGAUGUGUCAAUUGUGGAUUUAUUUAUUUUAUUUAACUUUUAUUUAACUAGGCAAUACAUUGAGCUCCAAAACUAUUGGGAUUUUGACCAUUUUUGUUGUUGUUUUGUCUCUGUACUCCAGCACUUUCGAUUAGAAGUGACACAGUGAUGAUGGUGUUAAAUUGGAGACUGUCAGCUUUCAUUUGAAGGGUGUUUUCAUUCAUAUCAGGUGAACCGUUUAGAAGUUACAGCACUAUUUGUACAUAGUACCCCCAUUUAGGGGACCACUUACGGUACCUAUCAAAAGUUUGGACACACCUACUCAUUCCAGC
Long non-coding RNA from Oncorhynchus tshawytscha (Chinook salmon), 1280 nucleotides. RefSeq lists it as uncharacterized. NCBI's taxonomy places the organism in Eukaryota, Metazoa, Chordata, Actinopteri, Salmoniformes, Salmonidae. The transcript has 3 exons. The record is from RefSeq and is a predicted model, not a curated record.